CAGUUAUUUGUACUUCAAAAUGAACUAUUCUUAGAUAUAUUUUACAACGUCUAGCACUUUUUCUUGUUGUAGCAUCUCCAAUAAAAGGAGAAGUCAUAUUUAGAGAAGCACAGAAUUGAAUAUUCUAGUAUGAUGUCAUAGUUAUAUACGUGGUAGACAGGCAUAAUACCACAGUUGGAAGAAAAGAUCGAUCUGCACAGUGGAUAGAUAGUGUAAAAUAGUUAUAAAAUGUUUUUUGGCGCCCGAUUCUUACUGUUGUAAUUGUGGAAUAAUGCUGAACUUAUUCUGAAAAAAAGAAAGAAAAUAUUAUCAAAUUGCCAAUAAAUGUGAUAAAAGUCGUUUCUUUUUUAAAGGUAUUUUAAAGAAAUAUUCAGGAUGCAUCUUAAGUUGAAACCAUUUGGAUACUAAGACUUUGAUACUUGGAUUAAUAUCUCGAAAACUGUUCAUUUGAAAUGGAAAAUAAUAAUAUUUGCAUAGUGAAUAACAGAAAUACACCUUUUCUAAAGCGGUUGGAAUUUGAAAACAACUAAUCGAAAAUUCCUUAUGUUG
Ruditapes philippinarum (Manila clam) is the source of this 549-nucleotide long non-coding RNA. RefSeq lists it as uncharacterized. The transcript is spliced from 2 exons. The record is from RefSeq and is a predicted model, not a curated record. Lineage: Eukaryota; Metazoa; Mollusca; Bivalvia; Venerida; Veneridae.